This is a long non-coding RNA of Dermacentor andersoni, 522 nucleotides long. RefSeq lists it as uncharacterized. The record is from RefSeq and is a predicted model, not a curated record. Lineage: Eukaryota; Metazoa; Arthropoda; Arachnida; Ixodida; Ixodidae.
AAAGCCGAGUUUGGUUUCAAGCCAACGUGGACAACUGCUGUAUGAGGCGCUGUUUCUCAGGAGGAUCAGUGGGAAGGCGUCAGGUCAUGCAGAUGAUAGCAUCAAUUUCACAAUGCCCAGCCUUGGUGCCCUCCAUUAAGAGCAAGCCACUUGCGUUCGCCUUCAGGCAGAUGGUUGAUGUCUUCUAGGAAGCAGUUGGGAAGACUACAUUGAUGCAAGAUUCCAGCAAUGCCAUGCGCUGCAUUUAUUGGUCAAGAUGCUCAGAGAAUGGAGUCCCUGCACCUCGUGGUGAAACGUGAACAUUUUCUUUCUUUUGGAAAGCUAAACGUCAUUUGCUGUAUCAAUUGCAUUCUUGCAGCUCAGAUGUGUACUAUAUUUUUUCUAAUUUUGAAUCAAUUAAUAUUCACUUUUCAGUAUAAAAAUGACGUACAGUGUGAAGGACAAGGACUGCGAGAGAUGACAUACACUGCGCUGACUUCCAACAAUAUUUUAUUGCGUUGCCACAUCGUGUGUUUAUACACA